Molecule: ribosomal RNA, 635 nt
Filed under: Oxalobacteraceae bacterium So3Pw_1440
Lineage: Bacteria; Pseudomonadati; Pseudomonadota; Betaproteobacteria; Burkholderiales; Oxalobacteraceae
Description: bacterial SSU rRNA
Rfam family: Bacterial small subunit ribosomal RNA
Source: RNAcentral
GCGCAGCCUGAUCCAGCAAUGCCGCGUGAGUGAAGAAGGCCUUCGGGUUGUAAAGCUCUUUUGUCAGGGAAGAAACGGUGCGGGCUAAUAUCCUGUGCUAAUGACGGUACCUGAAGAAUAAGCACCGGCUAACUACGUGCCAGCAGCCGCGGUAAUACGUAGGGUGCAAGCGUUAAUCGGAAUUACUGGGCGUAAAGCGUGCGCAGGCGGUUUUGUAAGUUUGUCGUGAAAGCCCCGGGCUCAACCUGGGAAUUGCGAUGAAGACUGCAAGGCUUGAAUCUGGCAGAGGGGGGUAGAAUUCCACGUGUAGCAGUGAAAUGCGUAGAGAUGUGGAGGAACACCGAUGGCGAAGGCAGCCCCCUGGGUCAAGAUUGACGCUCAUGCACGAAAGCGUGGGGAGCAAACAGGAUUAGAUACCCUGGUAGUCCACGCCCUAAACGAUGUCUACUAGUUGUCGGGUUUUAAUUAACUUGGUAACGCAGCUAACGCGUGAAGUAGACCGCCUGGGGAGUACGGUCGCAAGAUUAAAACUCAAAGGAAUUGACGGGGACCCGCACAAGCGGUGGAUGAUGUGGAUUAAUUCGAUGCAACGCGAAAAACCUUACCUACCCUUGACAUGGACAGAAUCCCGGAGA